UUACUUUUUAGGCUGUAUGUGAUCAUACUUUACGGUUCACGGACAUUCUAUCCGGAUGGCCUGGGUCUGUACAUGACGCAAGAGUCUUCAAAAAUUCACCCCUUUAUGAAGCCAGCUGCAGUGAAAACCUUUUUCCUGGCGAUACACAUAUUGUUGGAGAUGCAGCAUAUCCACUGCAAAGUUGGAUUUUAACACCGUACAAAGAUACGGGGAAUCUGGCAGAGUGUCAGAAAAGAUAUAACUCCAUACAUGCCAACACUCGCCAAACGAUUGAAAGAGCCUUUGGUUUGUUGAAAGGAAAAUGGAGGAGGCUGAGAUUCCUGGAGAUGACCAAACUUGAAGAUGCCCCAUGUGUUAUAACAGCAGCCUGUACACUUCACAAUAUGUGCAUAGAGAACAAUGAGAAUGACCUGGACAUGUGCAGUGAUACCAGUACCUUUCCUGAUGCUCCAGCUGUGAGUGAGCCUUUGAACCAGAGUGGAUCAGUAAAACGGAAUGCCCUAGCCCAGUAUUUCUGGUCUACCAACCGAUAUUAAAUUCAACGAAAUAAAGAAAACAAUGCUAAAUUUACAAA
This is a long non-coding RNA of Saccostrea echinata, 574 nucleotides long. RefSeq lists it as uncharacterized. NCBI's taxonomy places the organism in Eukaryota, Metazoa, Mollusca, Bivalvia, Ostreida, Ostreidae. The transcript is spliced from 3 exons. The record is from RefSeq and is a predicted model, not a curated record.